ACUCCUACGGGAGGCAGCAGUGGGGAAUAUUGCACAAUGGGCAGCAAGCCUGAUGCAGCCAUGCCGCGUGUGUGAAGAAGGCCUUCGGGUUGUAAAGCACUUUCAGUCGUGAGGAAGGUAGUGUAGUUAAUAGCGCAUUUAUUGAUCGUUAGCGACAGAAGAAGCACCGGCUAACUCCGUGCCAGCAGCCGCGGUAAUACGGAGGGUGCGAGCGUUAAUCGGAAUUACUGGGCGUAAAGCGCAUGCAGGUGGCUUUGUUAAGUCAGAUGUGAAAGCCCGGGGCUCAACCUCGGAAUU
RNAcentral lists this ribosomal RNA (297 nucleotides) under uncultured bacterium. RNAcentral describes it as "partial 16S ribosomal RNA". It matches the Rfam family "Bacterial small subunit ribosomal RNA", at positions 335 to 622 of the family's 1533-position model. The record is from RNAcentral.